Molecule: long non-coding RNA, 613 nt
Filed under: Panax ginseng (ginseng)
Lineage: Eukaryota; Viridiplantae; Streptophyta; Magnoliopsida; Apiales; Araliaceae
Description: long non-coding RNA (PGIN_LNC008311)
Source: RNAcentral
GAGAGAGAAAAUUAAUUUUUAAUAGGUGAAAAAAAUUGAAGGAACACAUUUACAUGAUUAACGUAUCUACGAGAAACAGUUAUGCUAAAAAAAAGUUUGGCGAACAUUAGAGAAAAACCUUUGCAUGACUAACGCAUAUAUGAGGAACAGUUAUGCUAAAAAGAAAAAUAGGAAACAGUUUAGCAAAAAUAUGACAAAUAUGAGGGUCAGAUUUGUAAUUUAGUCUAGAACAAACGGUCACGUUUCGGUGGAAUGUACUAUGACAAUAAAAGAUAAGCAGGACACAACCUUGUCUCAAGACCGAUGGGACCAUCGUUAUCAAACCCGGACCGAUUGGACGGUUUGAACCGGUUAAAAUCGAUCGAUUCUCUGUGUGACGCCCCCAAAAUAGGUAUACAACACCCAUUCUGAGUCACCAAAAGAAAGCAAACUACAACUUUGACAAUACAGAUGUCGUGUAGAAUACGACAAUACAACUGUGAGUUUGAAUACAAAUAUUGUCUUCUAGACAAUAUACACACCCAAAUAAGUCCUCAUUAAUUAUUCAUACACUAUUUUACAGAAAUAGUGAGGACAGCUAAAACAUCUUCCUAGAACCAUCACUCCAUACCCC